AGUGAACGCUGGCGGUAGGCCUAACACAUGCAAGUCGAACGGCAGCACAGUAAGAGCUUGCUCUUACGGGUGGCGAGUGGCGGACGGGUGAGGAAUACAUCGGAAUCUACUUUUUCGUGGGGGAUAACGUAGGGAAACUUACGCUAAUACCGCAUACGACCUACGGGUGAAAGCAGGGGAUCUUCGGACCUUGCGCGAUUGAAUGAGCCGAUGUCGGAUUAGCUAGUUGGCGGGGUAAAGGCCCACCAAGGCGACGAUCCGUAGCUGGUCUGAGAGGAUGAUCAGCCACACUGGAACUGAGACACGGUCCAGACUCCUACGGGAGGCAGCAGUGGGGAAUAUUGGACAAUGGGCGCAAGCCUGAUCCAGCCAUACCGCGUGGGUGAAGAAGGCCUUCGGGUUUUAAAGCCCUUUUGUUGGGAAAGAAAAGCAGCAGGUUAAUACCCCGCUGUUCUGAGGGUACCCAAAGAAUAAGCACCGGCUAACUUCGUG
RNAcentral lists this ribosomal RNA (492 nucleotides) under uncultured bacterium. RNAcentral describes it as "partial 16S ribosomal RNA". It matches the Rfam family "Bacterial small subunit ribosomal RNA", at positions 29 to 507 of the family's 1533-position model. The record is from RNAcentral.